GCCUCCUUGGCUCAGCGGUAGAGCGUGUCACUAGUAAUGACAAGGUCGUCAGUUCGACUCUGGCAGUAGGCA
This is a transfer RNA of Purpureocillium lilacinum, 72 nucleotides long. It matches the Rfam family "tRNA". From Rfam's summary of the family: Transfer RNA (tRNA) molecules are approximately 80 nucleotides in length. Their secondary structure includes four short double-helical elements and three loops (D, anti-codon, and T loops). Further hydrogen bonds mediate the characteristic L-shaped molecular structure. tRNAs have two regions of fundamental functional importance: the anti-codon, which is responsible for specific mRNA codon recognition, and the 3' end, to which the tRNAs corresponding amino acid is attached (by aminoacyl-tRNA synthetases). tRNAs cope with the degeneracy of the genetic code in two manners: having more than one tRNA (with a specific anti-codon) for a particular amino acid; and 'wobble' base-pairing, i.e. permitting non-standard base-pairing at the 3rd anti-codon position. NCBI's taxonomy places the organism in Eukaryota, Fungi, Ascomycota, Sordariomycetes, Hypocreales, Ophiocordycipitaceae. The record is from Rfam.